GUACCGGAACCCUCCGGCGGAAUCAGAUAGCGAUAGCGAUGGUGGUUUUCACCGAUCAAAGUCCCAGCUAUCCCCGUUGGAUCUGCGAGUGAUGAUGGGUCGUACGGGACGUCCAACGUUGCUGAUGGGUGGCCACGUUUUCACUCGCAAUAACACUCACAAAGAUAAAACCUAUUGGUUGUGCUCGAAGAGUCGCUCGCUGAAGUGUCGCGCCCGGAUUAUUACCCUGGACGGUAGUGGGGGACUGGUUCUCAAGAAUCAGAUCCAUAACCAUUCGGCGGGUGGAAAUCGCUAGUGCAGAUGUAAAAAUAAAGAAUAAAACACUAGACUUUUAGUUUUUUUUUCAUAUCAUUUAUACAUGCCGUACUAGAUUCUUCGAUUUCUCACUAACCACCGCCUAAUUCUCACCCCUUACAGGAAAAAUCGUCGUCAAGGAAAAGUCAACGGAAGAAAAAUUCUUCUUCGUCCGCACCGCCGAUGGUCGCUUUAAAAUUCAUGCAAAUGCCCCUUCAUCAAAAAUCAAGAAGGAAAAAGCACAUCCACAGCAGAAAAUGGUUAAUACUGGAACCAGACUGAUUCGAUCUGGAAUCAUCUUUCCCCUAAACGAAGGAACAGAAGUGGAACAGUUGGAACAACUUGUGAAGAAGAAUUCUACAAUCAGGCAGGAAUAUAUUAAUGUUCUGAAGCUUAAGCCUAGGGAUACGCAAAUCGUCCAUUACAUGCACAACGUUUUCACAGACGAUUCACUUAUUGACUACAAUUACAAUAAUGGCCAUGGCAAACGCGCCAUGCGAAUGUACGACAUAUUUUCCAAAUGCUUCAUGGACGCGUACGAAGCGGAGGAACUUACAGAGUUUGAGCUUGCCUACCAGCUGACGUUGGCGAUCAAGCAAAGUCGAAACCGGAUGCGGCAGCGCAUGUUCCGCGCUAGGAAAAUUGUGAAAGCAAGUUGUGGAAAGAGAAAGCGUACUCCAUAACCAUCCUGCGGGUGGAAAGCGCUAGUGCAGAUGUAAAAAUAAAGAAUGAAACCAGAUCUUUUGUUUUUAUUUAUUAUAUCUACAUACAGUACUAAAUUCUUCGAUUUCUCACUAACCACGCCCUAAUUCUCACCUCUUACAGGAAAAAUCAUUGCCAAGGAAAAGUUAACGGAAGAAAACUUUUAUUUCGUCCGCACCGCCGAUGGUCGCUAUAAAAUUCAUGCAAAUGCCCCUUCAUCAAAAAUCAAGAAGGAAAAAGCACAUCCACAGCCAAAAAUGAUUAAUACUGGAACCAGACUGAUCCGAUCUGGAAUCAUCUUUCCUCUUAACGAAGGAACGGAAGUGGAACAGUUGGAACAACUUGUGAAGAAGGAUUCCAUAAUCAGGCAGGAAUAUAUUGAUGUUCUGAAGCUCAAGCCUAGGGAUACCAAAAUCGUCCAUUACGUUUACAACGUUUUCGCGGACGAAUCACUUAUCGGCUACAAUUACAACGGAGUUAACGUUGUUGGCCAAACUAAACGUGCCAUGCGAAUGUACGACAUAUUCUCCGACUGCUUCAUGGAAGCGUAUGAAGCGGAAGGACUUACAGACGUCGAGCUUGCCUUCCAGCUGACGUCGGCGAUCAAGCAAAGUCGAAACCGGAUGCGGCAGCGCAUGUUCCGUGCUAGGAAAAUUGUGAAAGCAAGUUGUGAAAAGAGAAAGGGAACCCCAUUUGAGACUUGAUGAACUUGAUGUCUACCUUAAUGAUUCAAUUAUUUACAUUUUAAGACGCUCAGCUUCUUCAUUGUUUUUUUAGUGCUCUUAGCCUUAUAAUGAGGUUCGGGAAUCAGUACUUUCUUUUUAUAAUGAAUUCUAACAUGCUUACAUUUUUUCAUCCCGAAGACAGGUUUAUUUUAUUUUGAAUAAGUGCUAAUGGAAUGCAAUAACUCUUACCACUACGAUACCAUACCUCAGAAAUACUUUACUUUGUAGAAGUAAUGUUUUCAUCAGAAAAUGUUCGAAUCCAACACUCAAGUAAAAAUAAAAUAAAAUUAAAAAAAAAACAAAUAAAACAAAAUUAUCUGUUAACGUGUAUUCUUCAGCAGAACAAACUUCUUGAAGCUUAAACUAAUUAUACCAACUCCUCUCCAUUCCAGACCAAGAGUUCAUGAUGAUAGAAAUCUGCUCCGAUGAAGCCACUCGGCAUGCCUCCGACGAUGAUGAGCAAACCAAAGCUACAGUUUCCACUGGAGGUAAUACUGCAAUAAGAUCACUUCGGUUAGCGGGAUUCACGUUUCCUCUGAAACGUGCAGAAGACAUCGAACGCUUGGAGAAAGCCGUCAGAGCAGAUUCGUUCGUUCGGAAAGAAUACAUUCGCUACGUGUCAUCUCGGGUGGGCGAUCAUCGUAAUAUUACAACGCACAUCAGAAGGCUUUUCAGCGAUAGAUCUCUUGAGAAUUACACGUAUCAUGGGGUUAGCAAUCCACAAUAUCCUCGGAAAGCAAUGAAAGACUACGACAUCUUCACCAAGUGUUUGCUAGUUGCUUGGGAGGACGAUGACAUCACGGCGGAUGAGCUCAGAAUGUCGCUUAUCAAGGCAACACAAAAAGCGAAGCAGCAUUUAUCGUCCGCUCGGUACUACCAGCGCUACCGGAAACAGCUUCUAGAGAAACGGAAAGCCAGUUGGAAGAGCAAAAAGCUGCUCGAGUAGUUCCGAGUGUUCGGUGUACGAGUCAAACAUCACAUGGCCGCCAAGCUCGGCUAUACCCAGCGUGGGAAGACGCUGCUGCUGUUCAACGGAUUCGCCUACGUCAAGGACCGCGAAGCCAUCAAAAGCUGCCACUGGAAGUGCUCGCUGUAUGGGAAGCUGAAGUGCCGUGCCAGAGCCGUCACCAAAACGGCAGUCGACGGCCAGUUGAUGAUGAAAGUCACCAAGUCGAGCCAUAACCACGGCCAAGAUGCGUACAAAUUCGAACUUUCCACAAUGAAUAAACCAUGAAGCGGAUGUUAAUCGGACGCGUUUUUCUUCAAAAGUUUAGAAUAAUACCGUGAUUGCAGGACUAACCUCCUUUUUUUGCACUUUCGUAGGUUUUCCAGAUGGGGCCUAAUUUGGGAAAACCGCGCAAGGCUGUCUUAUGCUGUGGCACGGAAACUACGGGUAUUUCCGUGAGAAGCAGAAGCACAACACCACC
RNA transcript from Aedes albopictus (Asian tiger mosquito), 3148 nucleotides. RefSeq lists it as uncharacterized. The record is from RefSeq and is a predicted model, not a curated record. Lineage: Eukaryota; Metazoa; Arthropoda; Insecta; Diptera; Culicidae. The transcript is spliced from 8 exons.